RNAcentral lists this ribosomal RNA (493 nucleotides) under uncultured bacterium. RNAcentral describes it as "partial 16S ribosomal RNA". It matches the Rfam family "Bacterial small subunit ribosomal RNA", at positions 28 to 507 of the family's 1533-position model. The record is from RNAcentral.
GACGAACGCUGGCGGCGUGCUUAACACAUGCAAGUCGAACGGUGAAGGGACCGGUUUUUGCUGGUUCUGGAUGAGUGGCGAACGGGUGAGUAACACGUGAGUAACCUGCCCCCUUCUUCUGGAUAACCGCAUGAAAGUGUGGCUAAUACGGGAUAUUCUGCGCCUGCUGCAUGGUGGGUGUGGGAAAGAUAUUGUUUCGGUGGGGGAUGGGCUCGCGGCCUAUCAGCUUGUUGGGGGGGUGAUGGCCUACCAAGGCGGUGACGGGUAGCCGGCCUGAGAGGGUGGACGGUCACACUGGGACUGAGACACGGCCCAGACUCCUACGGGAGGCAGCAGUGGGGAAUAUUGCACAAUGGGCGCAAGGCUGAUGCAGCGACGCCGCGUGAGGGAUGGAGGCCUUCGGGUUGUAAACCUCUUUCGCCAGUGAAGCAGGCCUGUCCCUUUUGUGGGUGGGUUGACGGUAGCUGGAGAAGAAGCGCCGGCUAACUACGUG